GAUCAUGGCUCAGGAUGAACGCUAGCUACAGGCUUAACACAUGCAAGUCGAGGGGCAGCAUUGGAGUAGCAAUACUUCAGAUGGCGACCGGCGCACGGGUGAGUAACACGUAUCCAACCUGCCGCUUACUCGGGGAUAGCCUUUCGAAAGAAAGAUUAAUACCCGAUGGUAUAAAGAGUUCGCAUGUUCUCUUUAUUAAAGAAUUUCGGUAAGCGAUGGGGAUGCGUUCCAUUAGAUAGUUGGCGGGGUAACGGCCCACCAAGUCUACGAUGGAUAGGGGUUCUGAGAGGAAGGUCCCCCACAUUGGAACUGAGACACGGUCCAAACUCCUACGGGAGGCAGCAGUGAGGAAUAUUGGUCAAUGGACGAGAGUCUGAACCAGCCAAGUAGCGUGAAGGAUGACUGCCCUAUGGGUUGUAAACUUCUUUUAUAAGGGAAUAAAGUGAGGGACGUGUCCCUUUUUGUAUGUACCUUAUGAAUAAGGAUCGGCUAACUCCGUGCCAGCAGCAGC
RNAcentral lists this ribosomal RNA (511 nucleotides) under uncultured bacterium. Its description in RNAcentral is "bacterial SSU rRNA". It matches the Rfam family "Bacterial small subunit ribosomal RNA", at positions 15 to 518 of the family's 1533-position model. The record is from RNAcentral.